Molecule: transfer-messenger RNA, 354 nt
Filed under: Syntrophobacterales bacterium
Lineage: Bacteria; Pseudomonadati; Thermodesulfobacteriota; Syntrophobacteria; Syntrophobacterales
Also listed under: 1 other name
Rfam family: transfer-messenger RNA
About the family: Bacterial tmRNA, also known as 10Sa RNA or SsrA, is named for its dual tRNA and mRNA-like properties. Its role is to liberate the mRNA from a stalled ribosome. To accomplish this part of the tmRNA is used as a reading frame that ends in a translation stop signal.
Source: RNAcentral
GGGGGCGUACCGGUUUCGACGGGGAUAUGGAAGCUGUAGUGGCAUACCGAGGUUCCUACCAGGCCUCGUUAAACAGGUAGGAAACAUAUAAGCGCAACCAAAUACGAUUACGCUUUAGCCGCAUAGACGGCUACGUUCUCCCGGCCUCGCCUAUCGGGUCGGAUGAGGGCGUCAAACAGGUAGGAUAGCCGAACCCGCCUGCCUGAAGCGGGGGAAGCGAAAUCAAGACAGGAUAGCUCUCGAUAAAUCCUGCCUUUGGGAGUUGUCGAGAGUGAAUUUAGAACAAAGGCUAUGUAUGUAGAAGCUGCAGCGGAAUGUUUCCGGACGCGGGUUCGACUCCCGCCGCCUCCACCA